UGGACAAAAAAUGAUGGUACCCCUAGAAAAGAUUGGAAAUAAUGUGACCACAGGGACAUAUUAAACUAAGGUGUGUCCUGUAAUUAGCAUCACAGGUGUCUUCAAACUUGUAAUCAGCCAAUGGGCCUAUAUAUUUUGCU
This is a long non-coding RNA of Bufo bufo (common toad), 140 nucleotides long. RefSeq lists it as uncharacterized. NCBI's taxonomy places the organism in Eukaryota, Metazoa, Chordata, Amphibia, Anura, Bufonidae. The transcript is spliced from 4 exons. The record is from RefSeq and is a predicted model, not a curated record.